This 495-nucleotide ribosomal RNA is filed under the name uncultured bacterium. Its description in RNAcentral is "partial 16S ribosomal RNA". It matches the Rfam family "Bacterial small subunit ribosomal RNA", at positions 28 to 507 of the family's 1533-position model. The record is from RNAcentral.
GACGAACGCUGGCGGCGUGCCUAAUACAUGCAAGUAGAACGCUGAAGGAGGAGCUUGCUUCUCCGGAUGAGUUGCGAACGGGUGAGUAACGCGUAGGUAACCUGCCUGGUAGCGGGGGAUAACUAUUGGAAACGAUAGCUAAUACCGCAUAAGAGUAGAUGUCGCAUGACAUUUGCUUAAAAGGUGCAACUGCACCACUACCAGAUGGACCUGCGUUGUAUUAGCUAGUUGGUGAGGUAACGGCUCACCAAGGCAACGAUACAUAGCCGACCUGAGAGGGGGAUCGGCCACACUGGGACUGAGACACGGCCCAGGCUCCUACGGGAGGCAGCAGUAGGGAAUCUUCGGCAAUGGACGGAAGUCUGACCGAGCAACGCCGCGUGAGUGAAGAAGGUUUUCGGAUCGUAAAGCUCUGUUGUAAGAGAAGAACGAGUGUGAGAGUGGAAAGUUCACACUGUGACGGUAUCUUACCAGAAAGGGACGGCUAACUACGUG